Molecule: long non-coding RNA, 22178 nt
Filed under: Triticum aestivum (bread wheat)
Lineage: Eukaryota; Viridiplantae; Streptophyta; Magnoliopsida; Poales; Poaceae
Description: long non-coding RNA (TAES_LNC026939)
Source: RNAcentral
UGUUUUUUGUUUUGUGGUGGGGGUGAGGGUGGGGUGGGAGUUGAUUUCGUGAAUUAUUUGUGGGAAUAUGUGUCGAUGACAUCUCAAACAAAAUUUUGCAUGCAAUGUGUGUGAAAUGGAGGCCUAUCCAUAUCAUACAUAGAGGGUCGGGCAAUCCACGAGAAGAGAGGGAGGGGUCAUAGCUAUCGAUAGAGUCGAAGAGAGGAUCAAGUGGACGGGUGCAAGAUCGAUGAAGAGAGCCAUCGAAAUUGUGUGUGUGUGCAAGUCAAAGAUAUAGGACGACUGGCCUACCGGAAUGUUAGAGGGCACAUGUCAAAUUUGUGUGUGGCAGGGAAACAUNNNNNNNNNNNNNNNNNNNNNNNNNNNNNNNNNNNNNNNNNNNNNNNNNNNNNNNNNNNNNNNNNNNNNNNNNNNNNNNNNNNNNNNNNNNNNNNNNNNNNNNNNNNNNNNNNNNNNNNNNNNNNNNNNNNNNNNNNNNNNNNNNNNNNNNNNNNNNNNNNNNNNNNNNNNNNNNNNNNNNNNNNNNNNNNNNNNNNNNNNNNNNNNNNNNNNNNNNNNNNNNNNNNNNNNNNNNNNNNNNNNNNNNNNNNNNNNNNNNNNNNNNNNNNNNNNNNNNNNNNNNNNNNNNNNNNNNNNNNNNNNNNNNNNNNNNNNNNNNNNNNNNNNNGGUAGGCAGAGGCCUAACUAUAGAGGUAGAAUGACUCGUAUAUAUGUUGAGAAGGAGAGACCCAGCUAUGUCUUGAGGGAGAUUGGUCGACAUCCAUACAUAACUGAAGGACGGGAAAUAUGAUGGGACAGAGAGAGAGAGGAGAGAGAGAGGGAGGGAGAGGGAGGGAGAGGGAGGUAGAGGGGUAGAGUGUUGGAUGGGUGAUGGAGUUGCUUCUCGGAGAUGUUGGGAGAGGCCUACUAGACAAACUGAGGGUGGAACUGCAAUGUUAUCAAUAAGAGUGGGGAUGUGUUUCUGUGUGUGCCUGUGCAUGAUAGAUCUGUCGGGACGCAUCCAUGGAUGAUAGAGGGGAACCAUGUGUUUAGUAAGCAAACCUAACUAGAUCGAUAGAUCAAUUGUUGUUUGUCGGAGGAAGGGAGAGACACAACUAAUGAGGUAGAUCGAUCAAUGUGUGGGUAAAAAUGAGUUAUAAGGACCUAGCUGGCUAUAUGUAUAGCGAGAGAUCAGUCGGUGUACGUCCAUUUGUUAGAUGCAAAUAAGGCCCAGCGAGACGGAUAGACAGAGAGAAUGGAGCUAGGAGGUGGUGCGAGAGGCCCAACUACUAGCUAGAUAAGGGGAGGGGUGUGCGGUUGUGAGAUCGAUGAAAAGAGGGGCGAGAGUUUACACGUGUGUCUGACCAUAUGAGAGACACGAGGCAAGGACACAUAAAGGAGGAGAUUGAAGCUGUGUGUGUAUGCUGUAGGCAGGCAUCGCUAGAGAGAUUUAUCGAUCGGUGUGUGUCGGAAAGGAGUUGUGGAGACUUUGGGAGAAUGACCUAAAGAAAAAAAUGAAUGUGGCCGGUGGAUAGAAUGCUGAGGGAGGAGGAGGGCGAGGAGGGCGUGUGCAUGCACGAGAGAAAGUUAGUGGUAGCUACAAAGGUUAGAGGAUUGUGUGGGUGUAAGAGACUAACAAAGAUCAUAAUUUGAUAUGGAAGCGGAUUCAUAUAUUUGAAUAGGAGAUCAUAGUGUUUUAAACAUUGCAUGCAUGAAUAUAGCGGUGAUACAUGUGUUGUGCACAUGUUAUACCAUAAUGUGAUAAUGCAUGGCGUUUGCAACUCACAGCUAAAUGCCGAACAAUCUAAACCAUACUAUACAUCAAACAAUCUGACAUUUUAUUUGAAUUUGUGAUAAUGUGCGGCGUUUGCAGCUUACAACUAAAUAUCGAGCAAUCUAAACAAUACUAUAUAUCGAACGUUCUCACAUUUUAUUUGAAUUUGUGGUAAUGUGUGGUGUUUGCAACUCACAUCUAAAUACUUGUAGGCAUAGGGGGCGGGGCACCAUACAUAAUGUGAUAAACACAUUAUACAUAUGAGACAUGGUUUAGAUUAUGAAGAUCUAGCUAGAGCUAGAAAUGUAAUGUGAUUUGAAAUCAAAAUAAAGUGGAUUCAAAAAAUCUAGUUCAAGUUCAUAUAGUACACAUAGUUCAUAUGUAACUCGAGACUAAUCAUGUGGUGUGCUGUGAAGAUAAUACACAAACAAUGGUUUAACUUGACAAUAAUGAUGAUUGUAGAUCUUAUUAAAGCAGAGAAACGAAUUCAAAUGCUUUGACUUCACAACAAUCAUUACUGUAGAUCUUAUUCAAAUUUAGUUCAUAUUGAAGCGGUAGUAUAUACGUUUGGAAUGCACUAAAACAUUCAUUUGAGUAGUAGGUUGCAUGCAUUAUACACGAAGCAAAAUAUUUUAAUUGAACAUAACAUGAAUUCAAAGUUUUGAAUGACAUUUGUAGUGCGCAUUGAUUUGGUACAGUACACGUUAGGCUUGUCCGGAAAUUUCAAUCUGCGCCUUGUUAGCCCGAAAUAUUUAAGAUAUAUCUUUGUCUCGUUGUGCUCCGACAACUCCCUCCAUCUCAACCCGCGCCUUGCUAUUCCAAAAUUACAACACGCGCGAAAACUCCCACCUCCUGUGAAAUCCCGACACAUGAAAUGCUCGUGGUUCCCCUGAACCGAAAGAACCGCCUCAAAUCGGUGGGGGGUACUUUCGUAACUUACCCCACAUUUCGGACAAGCGCGUCUCUAAGCCAUGGUUCCCCACUGCCAUCCCAUCCGCCCACCCAUUCGUACAUCGAGGCUGCGAAAACCCGCGAUGAAACCCCACACCCUGCUCCGUCCGCCACCCAGCCGGAGCCUCUUCCCCGACAACGUCGUCCACAGCAACACCUCGACGUCCCUCAUCCACCGUACCGGAUGAGGAUCCGUCGUCGAUCUCAUCAUCCAGCCAGUUCAGCCACCCCGUCCUCCACCUCCAAGGAGCUGCCCCGAUGUUCCCCUCGUCUUUCGCGCCACCUCCAUUCCCACACUGACGUCUUCACCUGCACCACCGGAAGAGCAUCAUCAUCACCGUUUCCUCAGAUGAAGCUGCGGCCUAAUCGGCGCCACCAAAGAGUUUGUACACUAAUCGCCGCAUUUUCUUCUUGAUUCGAUCUCACGGUGCUGCCGGCGCUCGGUCCCGAGCUGACACAGCACGGCUCCAUCCACGGCGGUGUCGCCGGCCACUUCCUCCAUGGCGUCGCUCCCUCGGGGGUGACAUCCACAUCAGUAGGAGCUGCUGCUGCUUUAGCUCUCGCUCGUGCUGCUGCUCUACUCUUGCUCUCGGUCCCCUGCCUGGUCUGCUCUUGCUAUUGCUCUUGCUCGCGCUGCUGCUCUCGCUCUUGCUCUUGCUUGUGAUGCUGCUCCGAUUUGGCUACACUUGAGUCGACUGAAUCGACUUUUGGGUCAGUCGAUUUUCAAGGGGUGGGCUCAUCGGGGUGAAGGAAGAACCAGCCGUAGCAGGGAGGGAGGCUCGCCGAAGAGGUACCCCACUAUCUAUCUUAGGGUUCAGGAUGGGGGCGGUGGUCGCCGGCGGUGGCGGGGCGGUGGCGUGGGUAUCGCCGGAGAAAAAGCUCGGCACGGGGGGACCUAGAGGGAUGGCCGGGGCGGCGGCGGACCGGCGGUGGGGAGUGUUUUCGGGGCGGGCGGGGCGGCGCACCGCCGGCCACGGGCGGUGCAGGGCUGCUGUUUGGCCGGUGGUGGCUGGCGGCUCAGGGGGUGGAGGUUGAAGAUGAACCGCAGGCCCUUGAUUUCGUAUCCAAUGGCUGCAAAAUCGACUGACCAGAGAUGAAAAAGUCAGUUGAGCGACUUGUAGCCUCACCUUGCUAGUGCGUUCAGUUUCGACAGCAAAAUUCAGUUUCGACAGCAAAAUUCAGUUUCGACAGUUAGGUUCAGUUUCGACAGUUAAGUUCUAUUUUGACAGUUAAGUUCAGUUUCGACAGUUAAGUUCAUAGAUGAGCGGCUGAUGUAUUUUACAUCUAGCACUUUGUGGUUCUGUAUUUUACGUCAUGUAUUGGAGAUGCUAUUAGAAUUCCACUCAGGUUAACGUUGUUCGUUGUCUCUCUUUUCCUGCUUCGGCCUCGGCGUCGUACAACUCACCGGAGCUGCUCCAACAACGAAACCCUCCAUCACAGCGGAGCAGUACCUCGGGCUCCAUCUCCAGAUGCCUAAGAUCUUCUUCCCCUCCUCCGAUAGCAAAUUCAUCCGGAGCAUCCUCGCCGGCCAACCCAAUCACGCUGAGAUCGACAUGGCUUCGCCAAAGAGGUUGUACACUUGUUGCAUCUCUUUUUUACUCUACAUGUUAUAUAUAUUAUCCACUGAGCACACGGAUUUGUUCCUUUAGUGUCUCCUUGAAAGAAAAAAUGUAGGAAUUUUAAUUUUCACUUGUCCUCCUUUUCAAAUUCCUAUUCAUGAAGCACAAGACUAAGAGAUAGUAGCAUAAUAGCAUUAUAACCGUACAUUUUCUUGUGGUUUGACUUAAUCUCACCAUGCUUCUUUGCAUCCUGUGAUCUUCCAAUUGUUGUGAAUCAAACACCCAGAUUGGCAGAAAUCCUGUAUUUUUAAAUUCUCUGUUUUGCACGUGCAUUCCUAUCCUAUUCCUGUCUAUUUCCUAUCCCUGCAUUGUUGGAAUCCUCCAAUUCAAACGAGCCCUUACAGAAUUACUUCUCUUACAGAUAGUUGUCAAAGAAAACCUUGCGUGGUUUGUCCCGCUCCUGCUGCGCUAUCGUCCACCCCAGCUCAGCUGCUCCAACGAUAGAAGGGUCCAGCACAGCAGGGAUCCGGCCUCCAGACUGUCUUUUGCCGCCUCAGGUCUUCUUCCCCACCGCUGGCUGCCAUGAAAACUGCAUUAUCAUCAUCAACCGAGCAGAUGACCUCGAGGACUACACGGGUCCGCAAGAGAGGUCGCACUCUUUCGUGUCUGCUUACGUUAUGCAUCGCUUAAUAUUACAUGCUACUUUAUUGUCCUAUUCACUGAUUAGACUCUGAGUCAGCUCCAAACUAAUGGUCAAACUUGAGUUUUUAAAUGGUUGUGGGGUACAUAUCGGGGCCGCUAUCAAUAGUAUCUAUCUACUAUCUGGUUAAUCUCCAGUGUCUACUAUGAGUUUCAUGUUGGGUGGGAAACAAACAGUAAAGAAGCCAUUAUCUGUAUUUAUUAACUGAAGCCAUUAUCUGCCUGCUAUUAUUGGUUUUGGGUCUAUCCACAUGUUGCUACCAUCACUCUGGAUUUCUGCAUGCACUCCUUACAUAAUCUCACUAUGUUUUAUUCCUAUGCAUGACAGUUAUUGUAAACAAUGGAACUGAACAUGUAGAGCAAAAGAGACGAGCCUUGCGUGGCAAUAUAAUUUCAUGCAGACGUCCCUCCAUGGUAGGCGCAAAGGCAGCCCCCCUCCACGCAUUUCGGAUUGUAAUCGAGAGGAAGAUAUCUGUUCUGAGGGGGAUUCAGAAGGAGAAGAUAACUCCUAUUUACCCCCUGAGGUCUUCGCUCUAACUUGGCAUGCUGAUGUUGGUUAUAUCAUGCAUAUGGUGUCUUGCAUUGCUUACUUUAUACAUCAAAUAUGUCAUCUUCUUAGUUUAGACAUCCUUUGUGCGAAUGCCAUCUGUUUAGUUUAUUCAUCGUUUAUGUGAAUUAUGCAACGCCACCUUGUUUAGCCAGGCAUCAUAUAUGUGAAUUUUGCAAUGCCAUCCUGCUUAGCCAGUCAUCUUAUAUGUAAAUUAUAUCAGGCCAUCCUUUUUUCGUUACAUAUUACAUUUGUCAACAAUGUUAGUACAUUCAACUGCUCUUCGUGUGCAUCAGCCAUUUGACACGGUGAUGGCAAAUUCUGGAGUGAAAACAAGGUCUUCUGAGCAGACUAUGCUAUCUGACGAAGCGCAUAUCUCGCUGGUUACGGAUAGCUCCUCAGAGGAGGAUUNNNNNNNNNNNNNNNNNNNNNNNNNNNNNNNNNNNNNNNNNNNNNNNNNNNNNNNNNNNNNNNNNNNNNNNNNNNNNNNNNNNNNNNNNNNNNNNNNNNNNNNNNNNNNNNNNNNNNNNNNNNNNNNNNNNNNNNNNNNNNNNNNNNNNNNNNNNNNNNNNNNNNNNNNNNNNNNNNNNNNNNNNNNNNNNNNNNNNNNNNNNNNNNNNNNNNNNNNNNNNNNNNNNNNNNNNNNNNNNNNNNNNNNNNNNNNNNNNNNNNNNNNNNNNNNNNNNNNNNNNNNNNNNNNNNNNNNNNNNNNNNNNNNNNNNNNNNNNNNNNNNNNNNNNNNAGAGGAGGAUUCAGAGAUAGAUGACCAGUCCUAUCCCCCCCCCCCCCGAGGUGUAUGCUCUAACUUGGCAGGGUUAUGUUGCUCAUAUCGUGCGUAUGGUGUCUCGCAUUGCUAUGCCAUUUGAUUAGUUUAGACAUGCUUUGUGUGAAUGCCACCUGUUCAGUGUCUAAUUACCAUAUAUGUGAAUUAUGCAUUGCCAUCUUGUUGCAAGACAUUAUAUAUGUGAAUUAUACAAUGCUAUCUUGUUGCAAAGGCAUUAUAUAUGUGAAUUAUGCAAUGCCAUGAUGUUUAGCCAAUCAUCAUGUAUGUGAAUUAUAUCAUGCUAUCAUUUUUUUGUAUUACGUGUUCCAUUUGUCGACAACGUUUGUAUAUUCAACUACUCUUCAUGUGCAUCAGCCAUUUGAAGCGGUGAUGGAAGUAUCUGGAGUGAAAACAAGGUAUUCAGAGCAGACAAUGCUACCUGCUUAAGCACACAUCUUGCUGGCUACAGAGAGCUCCUCAGAGGAGGAUUCAGAGACUGAUGACCAGUCCUAUUUCCCCCCUAAGGUCUAUGCUCAAACUUGGCAGGGUUAUAUUACCCAUGUCAUGCAUGUUGUCUUGCAUUGCUUAGUUUUUACAUCAUAUAUAGAUUGCCAUCUGCUUACUUGCUUACGAUAUAAAUCAUAUAUUUGAAUUAUAUCAUGCCAUAAUGUUUACAUAGUACAUACAUAUCAUCUAUCUGAAUUAUGGCAUGGCAACCCAUUUAAUAAAGACAUCAUAUAGUUAUAUCAUCUCAUCAUGUUUAGUGUUUACAGUCAUCAUAUUUAGAAUUAUGGCAUUUUAUCCAUGAAUGUAUGUGAAUUAUGGCAUGCCAACCUAUUUAAUAAACACAUUAUAUAGUUAUGCCAUGUCAUCUUGUUUACAUAAUCUCAUAUUUUGAACUAUGUCUUUCCAUCUUUUUUAGUUAGCCAUCAUAAUGUGAAAUUGUGUCAUGCUAUCCUGUUUAGUUAGCCAUCAUAUAUGUGAAAUUGUGUCAUGCUAUCCUGUUUGGUUAGACAACAUAAAUAUGAAUUAUUUCAUGCCCUCUUUUAUUCCCCACUAUCCAUUGCACUUGUCUAUCAUACAUUGUCUAUACUUUCAAUUACUUUUCUUGUUUAUCAGCCAUUUGAAUUGGAGAGCGUGAUGGCAGUAUCUAAGGGAGUAACAACACGGUCUUCGGAAAAGAUAGUGCUACUAGUUGAUGCAGAUAGAACCACGGUUGUACUUGCCCAAGGACCAGAUCCACCACACAUAACCCAGACUCUCGCAGAUUGUACCCCUACCCAGUUGGACAGAGAACCAGCUAGACCCCUUCUAACCCCAACCCCGGCAGAUAGUAACCCAGUUCCAGUUGACACAGCACCGUGUCCACCACAGAGCACCCAAACACGAGCGGUUAGUAAGGGAACUGCAGUGCCCAAAGCACGAGGACCACCACUCCGAAUCCCAACUCAAGCUUAAAGGAGAAGAAGAUCUGUUCUCAGGUCAGGUUCUGUAGCUAUGGUUCAUACUCCUUUGCUCUUGCAUUACUGUAUUUACUCAUACCAACUAUUUUCAAAUUUGAAGGAUGGAAUUGAAACUCCAAUGGUGCAACAGGUAUGUUUUAAACCUGUUUCUUUAACUGGUUUGCUGUUGUAACCUGCUCUAUGUUGAUUUCAGUUUCAGUUGAAUAAACAGUUAUGUUCUCAUGUCAUGCACAUUACAAGUGUUGUUAUUGCUCUAUAGUUACCCACGCUUAUAUUCUGUCUAUUCUGCUUUGUCUUGAACAAAUAUUAUUUGAACUGUGUCUCUAUCUUGAUUUGGCAACAAAAACUAGAAUGAUAUAGACCAUAAAGUGACCAUGGUACAUAGAUAUAUGUUUGUUUCAUGUUGUUAUCCUGUCCACUUUACUACUAAACUCAUUUACCAAAAUUAGUUUCAUAUACAACAUGGUAAACAUGUGAUGUGUCUGCUUGUUUCUCUUAGAAUGCGGACAAAAUAUUGGAGAAUAGUACCGCGUUAUCCAAUGGUAAAGGAAGUAAUGCAGAUAAGGUUCAAGAUAGUGAGACAUCCCUGUUGGUCUCCAAGAAAGCUGAUAAAAACUAUCUUGACGAUAGUGAGGGAACCCAAAAGUCCUGUCUUGAUGUAGUGUUCGAGUUACUGGCCACUACUGCUGGCACAAGCUCUUCAAACUCGCUGUCUGAAUCAGCUCGUCUUCUUGAAUCUCAACUUCAAGUUGAAAGACAUCGAUCAGAUGUGCUACGACAGGAAGCUGAAGGACUGAGGAAGUCCCUGCAGAAUUCAAAUGCAUAUUUUUUGGUGCAACAGCAAGCGCUGGAGGAUUUAAGCGCCAAACAAGAGAAAGUUAAUAAGCUUGCUAAGCAUCUUGCCAGCAUUAUGGGUACCCAGGAUAUUGUUUCUUGAGAUCUUCUGAAGUGGUUUCAGUUCUCGAUUUGUUUUGCUGCGGCGUUUAUUUGCGCUGGUCGCCAACUUUGACAACCAGUGUAUAUGAUAUGCUGCUUUGUUCCCUAUAUUUGCACUGGUGGCGAACUUUGAUGCCCAGUGGAUGUAAUAUGUGUAACAGCCGUGAUAGCCUAGCAUAAGUUGCUUGCUUAUUUAUUUCCUUGUUAUCUUGUUUAUUUGUUUGCUUGUAGUCAGUGUAGUUCUUUUUAAAACUAGGCCACAAUAACCAUGGGCUAAUAUUUACUGUAGUGACACUGGGCCUCCUACGGGCCGUAGAAACAGUGGGCCUUCUACGGGCCGUAGAAACAGUAGGCCUUCUACGGGCCAUAGAAACAAUGGGCCUUCUACGGGCCGUAGAAACAAUGGGCCUUCUACGGGUCGUAUCAUCAAUGGGCCUUAUACGGGUCGUAUCAUCAAUGGGCCUUAUACGGGUCAUAUGACCAUAACGGGCCAUCGUUAAUAGGCCGUAUUUGAUGACGCUAUGAAAACGGCCCAACGUAUUAAUGGACCACAAACGGGCCAAUGUAACCACGGGCUGAAUUUGGCCCUCAAGCAGAAAAUGAUAGUAACGGGUCGUAAGUAAAUGAAUGUUGGAAAUGAGCCGAAGAAUAAAUGGGCUCUAAGAAGGCCGAAAGAUAACAUUUGCUGGAAACGGACCAACUGAAUAACGGGCCUUUAAUGGGUAUGAAGUGAUAUACUGUUCAUUACGGGCCAGUUUCACCCGGGCCGUUAAUGGGUGUAAAGUGAUACACUGUUCGUUGCGGGCCAGUUUCACCACGGGCCGUUAAUAGGCCAAGAGUUACAUAGGGCCUCAUAUGGGCUGAAAGAUGUCACGGGCCAUACAUGGGCCAGAAGUGAAAACGGGCUAGAAUCAUAUUGGAUGGCCCAGAUGACGCUAUUGGGCCUAAUUCGGAUAGGGCGUAACGGGCCUUGGGUUAGCGGGCUGUAAAUGGGCUAUAUGCAAACAAGUCGUUAACAGGCUUUCCAUGGGCCGGCCCGCCACCUUUUUACCAAGUCAAACGGCCGGCCUUUUCACAGGAAUGGGCCUCUGUUGGGCCGUGCCACGUGUUGACGUAUCAUAGGUGCCUUCUGUCCAAUGAGUGGAUGACAUCUGUCCCAACAGUGAGCCAACACGUGUUUCCUCCAGCCAAUGAUGAUUUUACACAUGGAAAAUCCCCAUUGGUCGGCGCUGUUAACGGGUUAUCGGAUCCAAAACCCGACCCGGUAGCUUAACGACGUUCCGUUACGGUGGAUGCCACGUGUCGGUCACCCUUGACGAAAGCACUUCUGUGACGCGCAAUUUAUCGUCAUGGAAGUGGACACUUCCGUGAUGAUAAUUUUGGUAAUGUCAUGGAACACUUCUACGACAGCACAGGUAUGACUAUCUUCAUUCUGUCAUAAAAUCAUCAUGGAUGUACAUGCAUGACAAAAAACGCGACCUACUGUGACAAACAUGUAUCAUCACGGAAGUGUAUUUUUUUGUAGUGUCGUCUUUUGAUCCCACGUGGAUCUGUGGGUUGCCAAUCUUCGUGAGGAGUCGCAUGCUACCAGGCAUGUGCUCUUCAAAUUUUGGUCUUUAACAUUGUCGAUGGUGUUGGAGAUCUCAACCCCAAGGGUAGGGGCCUUGCUGGCCUCUUCGCAAGCUGCCCCGACAAGGGCUUGCUGGGGCUAGGGGCCUCGUAGGUCGCCUCGGCAAGGCUUGUUGCCAGGCGUGGCCUUGCUUGCCUCUUGCUACUUGCUACUCUAGGCAGCUGUCUUGAUGUCCUUUGUUCUUGUCUCCUAUUGUCUUCCUCUGCCUUGCCAUGCCCUGUUGUAGGGGUGGCUGCGACCGUCCGUGCACAAGUAAGGGGUACAGAAGCACCCAUACUUGUGUACACCGACAGUGUGUUAAUCACAUAGCCAUGUGAACUAGAUUAUUGCCUCUAGUAAACCAUUUGGGUGUUGGUCACAUGGCAAUGUGAACUAUGGGUGUUAUUCACAUAAAGAUGUGAACUAUUGGUGUCAAAUCACAUGGCGAUGUGAACUAGAUUAUUGACUCUAGUGCAAGUGGGAGACUUAAGGAAAUAAUCCCUAGAGGCAAUAAUAAAGUUGUUAUUUUCUAUUUCCUUAUUCCAUGAUAAAUGUUUAUUAUUCAUGCUAGAAUUGUAUUAACCAGAAACUUGAUACAUGUGUGGAUACAUAGACAAAAUAUUGUGUCCCUAGUAAGCCUCUAGUAGACUAACUCGUUGAUCAAAGAUGGUUAAGUUUCCUAACCAUAGGCAUGUGUUGUCAUUUCAUAAACGGGGUCACAUCAUUAGGAGAAUGAUGUGAUGGACAAGACCCAUUUGUUAGCUUAGCAUUAUGAUCGUUCAGUUUUACUGAUAUUGCUUUCUUCAUGUCAAAUACAUAUUCCUUCGACUAUGAGAUUAUGCAACUCCUGGAUACCAGAGGAAUGCCUUAUGUGCUAUCAAAGGUGACAACGUAAAUGGAUGAUUAUAAAGAUGCUCUACAAGUAUCUUCGAAGGUGUUUGUUGGGUUGGCAUAGAUCGAGAUUAGGAUUUGUCAUUCCGAGUAUUGGAGAGGUAUCUCUGGGCCCUCUUGGUAAUACACAUCAUAAGAAGCCUUGCAAGCAAAGUGACUAAUGAGUUAGUUACAGGAUGAUGUAUUACGGAACGUGUAAAGAGACUUGCCAGUAACGAGAUUGAACUAGGUAUGAAGAUACCGACGAUUGAAUCUCGGGCAAGUAACGUACCGAUGGACAAAGGGAAUAACGUAUGUUGUCAUAACGGUUCGACCGAUAAAGAUCUUCGUAGAAUAUGUGGGAGCCAAUAUGACCAUCCAGGUUCCACUAUUGAUUAUUGACCGGAGAGGUGUCUCGGUCAUGUCUACAUAGUUCUCGAACCCGUAGGGUCCGCACGCUUAACGUUCGAUGAUGAUAUUGUAUUAUAUGAGUUAUGUGAUUUGGUGAUCGAAUGUUGUUUGGAGUCCCAAAUGAGAUCAUGUACAUGAAGAGGAGUCUCGAAAUGGUUGAGAGGUAAAGAUUGAUAUAUAGCACGAUAGUAUUCAGACACCGGAAGUGUUCCGGAGGGUACCGGGUACAUAUCAAAGUGCCGCAGGGGUUACCGGAACCCCUGGGGAGAAGAUAUGGGCCAUAUGGACCAUGAGAGGGGAGCACACCAGCCCACAAGGGGUGGCGCGCCCCCCUUAGGCAUGUGGCCGAAUUGGAGAAGGAAAAAGGGGGGUUCGGCCCCCCUUCCUUUCUCUCUUCCCCCUUCCCUUUCUUCUCCGAUGGAAAAAGGAAAGGGAGGGCACCACUUGGGGAAACCCCAAGUUGGAUUUGGAUUCUACUUGGGGCAACCCCUGGCUGCCUCUCCUCCCCUCCCACCUAUAUAUAUGUGGGGAGGGGGGCUCUUAGAACACACAACAUCAAUUGUUAGCCGUGUGUGGCGCCCCCCUUCACUGUUUACACCCCGGUCAUAUUCUCGCGGUGCUUAGGCGAAGCGCUACGCGGAUCACUUCACCAUCACCGUCGCCACGCUAUCGUGUUGAUGGAACUCAUCUACUUCCUCGACACCUUGCUGGAUCAAGAGGACGAGGGACGUCAUCGAGUUAAAUGUGUGCAGAACUCGGAGGUGUUGUAUGUUCGGUACUUGAUCGGUCGGAGCUAGAAGAAGUUCGACUACAUCAACCGCGUACGGUCUACGAGGUAUGUAGACACACUCUCUCCCCCUCAUUGUUAUGCGUCUCCUAGAUAGAUCUUGCGUGAGCGUAGGAAUUUUUUUGAAAUUGCGUGCUACAUUCCCCAACAGUGUAUUACUGAGAGGCCCAGAAAUACCUCUUCGAUACUUGGAGUGACAAAUCCUAAUCUCAAUCUAUGCCAACUCAACAAACACCUUCAAAGAUACCUGUAGAGCAUCUUUAUGACCACCCAGUUACGUUGUGAUGUUUGAUAACACACAAGGUAUUUCUCUGGUAUCCGGGAGUCGCAUAAUCUCAUAGUCGAAGGAAUAUGUAUUUGUCAUUAAGAAAUCAAUAGCAAUAAACUGGACGAUCGAUAUGCUAAGCUAACGGAUGGGUCUUGUCCAUCACAUCAUUCUUCUAAUGAUGUGACCCCGUUAUCAAAUGACAACACAUGUCCAUGGUUAGGAAACCUUAACCAUUUUUUAUCAACGAGCUAGUCUAGUAGAGGCUUACUAGGGACACAGUAUUUGUUUAUGUAUUCACACAUGUAUUUAAGUUUCCGAUCAAUACAAUUCUAUCAUGAAUAAUAAACGUUUAUCAUGAAUAAGGAAAUAUAAAAUAACAACUUUAUUAUUGCCUCUAGGGCAUAUUUCCUUCAAUAAUUGCAUGUCAAAAUUGUUGAGUUAGUGGGGGUCAAAUAUUUAGGCAUAUAGGAUUUUUUUGUGGGGGUUUCGACUAGUUGUGCAUGUUAUUUACGAAAAUAUUUUAUUCGAAGGUCGAUUCAAUGAAACAAACGUAAGUCAAUUCUUCUUUGAGUCGAUCAGAUAAGAAUAUCGAAAGACUAGAGUAUGCAAUUAUGCUCUUUGAGCUUACAUGCACUCGAGUGAUCGACAAAUUAAAAAAAUGUUCCAAGAAAACCUAUUCUACCAGGACAAAAAGAAAUCUAGAAGUUUAGAUAACAAAUCCAAAAGGUAGACUCUAGUGUAUGGUUCAUGCAUACUAUAAUAUCAAUAAGUUGUUAGUUUUUUAUUUUUGAUCUACUAGGGAUCGAGUGGUUCAUGUAGUUGGUUUAGAAAGAUGUGGAUUGUUUGUUUGCUACUAGAUUUGCACUUGGGUCAUGGGCUUGUUUUUGUUCAUAUUUGUUCUAACUACAUUUGUGGCAUGCCUUAAUUAUGUUGGAUUUCCCCAACCCAUUGGUAGCUUCUUUUAUGGGACCUCGUCAAGAGGGAAGGUUGCUCUUAUGAUUUCAUUAUAGAAAGACGGUUGGCCUGAUUUAUACAAAAAAAGGGUCAAAAAUCACACAAUGACAUGGUUAACUAUGGGACAACCAUGCAAAAAAACGUCGAUGAACAUGAGCAACCCCUAACCAAAACUUGGCUCCACCACUAAACACAAACCAAACACCAUGGGUUAAAGAGAACCAAGGAAGGAGUGAAGAAGACCUUUGACAACACCUACAUGGAGUAAAUAGAGCCUUCUAAUAAAUUUUUCAUUACAUGUAUUUUUCAAAAACUUUUAUGCAUUUCUUAUGCUUGCAAUAAAUUUCGGUUGAUUUUAUUUAAUCAAAGAUGUGUCUUGCAUGUGCACAAGUACUAGUAAAAAUAACCAAGUACUAAUCAAAAAAUAGCUAAGCCACCACCUUUCGAUAUUCAUAGUAACAAUGAAAAAAUUAUAAGCCCUAGUCAUCUUUCAAUCUUUUUGACAUGUCUAAUCUCACACCAUACAAACUAGCCCCUGGUCGACAGUUCCGAGCACAUAACAAUUGUUUCAUACACUUUCUUUGGCUACCGAUUUAGUUUAGGUAUUUUUCUUAUUUUGGUUCUCACACAGAUAUCCAACCUCUUUGUAUAUUUUUCAUGAGCUUUUUACUAUAUUUAUUCAAUUGAUUUCAUGUCCAAAUUUUCACAAUAAAAGAAAACUCUUCUAGAAACUAUUAUUUCUUUUGUGUCAUGUAUAGUUGUGCAAGAUAAGUGCAUAUUACACCAUGUACUAUAACCUAGGUUUAACUUUAACAUUGAGUUCUAAAAACGUUUAUGAACUGCUCUCAAAUUUGUUGUUAAAUAUUAUAAAUCCAGGAUAGUUAUCAUACAGUUAUGUUGUCUAUAGUUUAAUUACAAGUUUUACAAUCAUGUGAGUAGAGUUGUAUUUUUGCGAUGAGAGUUGUGUUAGUAUCAAGUUUUUCUUAGAAGUUUAAAACAUCCCUUCUUAGAAAGGAAAUGGAAAAAUCAGAACCACAAUAUUGUCCACAAACUAAACCAGGUGAAAUAGAAAGGCUAUAGCGUGUCUUUAUGUGUGCGUGCAUACGUGUGCACUUUUAUAAUAACUAGAGAUAUAUCCUAAUGACUAUGAGUUCAGUGACUAUCCUCGUAGAGAUAUGUAAGGGACGAUUAUAUGGCUUAGGUGCUUUCAAAUAGAGAGUUCUUGAGCGUAUGAGGUGUUGAGAAGUGGUCUAUCCACGAAUUCUUUCCUCAUGUCAUUUUUCUAGAAACACUGAAUACAACAUGUAUGCAAGCACACCCAUUCAUAACACCACACAUAUGCACUCCUCUAAUUCCAUAGAACACACGAUAUGUCAGGCUUGAAGAUCGAUGAAGUCAUGGCAAGUGUCUCGUUGUCGAUGAGUGCGUCUCUUAUUACUAAAGAAAUAGUCCAGCUUGGCAAGACAUGCAUAAUAUUAACUCUAAUAAUUUUAGGCUGAUUUGGCAUUACAUUGCAUUAUGAUAAUCUUGUUUCUUCAACUAGCAUCACAUAUUUCCAUUUUAAAUAAUUUUUUAUGCUCUCAAAUCAAUUUUCACAACAAAUUAGGUCAUUUCCCCACUGAAGUUAGGUGUCUAACCUGUAUGAUGUCUUGUGCUUUGGCAUCGUCAGGUUCCACUUCCGACCGCAAGGAUGCCAACCUCAGUUGCACCACAUAGCCUCUACACAGAUUUACACAAUGAUAUACAUCUUCAUAGUUGGUGAGCAGGUGAGAGCUUAACAAAGCUCCUCAAAGACCUUUAGUUUACAAAUACAAUGGGGUGGGCGCCUUGUUGGAUUCCAAGUAUGUUAUUGUUGUUUAAUUAAUUUGUACUUGUGAAAAUAUGAAACCAGACGUGUUUUGUGAUGUAUCCAAGGUCAACCAAAGAUAAUCUAACAUGCAUUUUGAGUUCUGAUGUUAGUAUUCAUAUCUGGGGCAUGGCAAUUUUAUUCUCAUUUUUCUCUUUAUAGAGUACUUAUUUAUUUCAUGCAGGUUAAGAAUUUUCAUAUGUGUAUGGUUUCAUUUCAGAAAAAAAUCGGACGGCGGCGUGUAGGGCAUCUUCUACUUAUUAAGAAAAAGUGUGGGUAGGAGAUAGCAUAUAGUGUAUUUGAAAAAUAUAUGCUACCUUAGAUAUGAAGAAUCCACCUCCUAACUACAUGAAAACAAACACAUCUCCAUUAUUUAUAUUCUUUCAAAUCAGUAAAUAUUCUACGUGACUAUGACAAGAAAAAAGCUAGUGUCACCCUUUCAUCAGUUCAACAUAUCGAAAUAUUUUUUGUUACAUAUAAUACAUAUGUAGCUAGUUAAAUUGAUGAUCUAGAACUUGCCGAGACGGAGGGAGUAGAAGUUCAAGCAUGUCAUGAGUAAUGUCAUGAACAUUUGUGUAGGGUAUAGUUACGAAGCACUUGAACUUUUGUGCAAAGUAUAGUUAGGAAGCACUUAUUAGGAAGAAAUUUUAUUUUAGUAUAUCAAGAAGCAAUCUUCAAGUACUACGGAAGGAGCAGUAGUGAUGCAUACAAUCUAAGAUGCACACAUGAUUAGGACAUGGAUUUUCUGUUCCUGAGCUUAAAUACACCUGCAUGAAUAUUAAAAUCCAAAAAAUAGCAGAGAAAUUAAAAAAAACUAUUUUUUUGUCGAUGAACAUCAAUAUAUGUUCCAGCAUCCUGUACCGCUUGGUAUGAGCGGUUCGCUAUCUCAAAAAGCAAUCAACAACUGAUGUCCUAACAUCCUAUACAAUUUCACCUAAAAAGACAUCCUUGGAGGCCUAUAUGAAAAACAAAAUUUGGGACUAAAAAUGUGCACUUGGAGCACUCUUUUUGUUUGGCACAGAUCACUAUGGAUGUCUUUUCGUGGCAAAUUUUUAUAGGAUUUAGAACACUUGUUGAUGUUCAUCCACAAUUUUUUUAUUUUUUCUACACUUUUUUGGAAUUUACUGUUCAUGCAGUGCAUUUGUGUUUGGGAUUCGAGUAGCACUUUCGACAUAAUAGAUACAUGUAUUUCUAAAUAUGGGGAGAACUAUUGUACUCCCUCCGUUUUUAUUUACUCUGCAUAUUAGCUUUGGUCAAAGUCAAACUUUGUAAAGUUUGACAAAGUUUUUAGACAAAAAUAUUAACAUAUACAAUAACAAAUCAAUCACAUUAGAUUCAUUGUUGAAUACACUUUCACAUCGUAUAGAUUUGCUAUUGUAAAUGUUCAUACUUUUUUCUAUAAAGUUGGUCAAAGUUUAUGAACUUUGACUUCAGUCAAACCUGAUAUGCAGAGUAAAUAAAAACAGAGGGAGUACUUUAUUUGACUACCGUGUUUGCAGGAAUUUCAUUGUAAUGACAUAUUAUUUGUUGUAAUGACGUGCAACUAUUGUUCUUUACGUUGAAAUACCUGGCGAAUUGCUUUUUUCUCUCCAAAUACUUGCUGCAAUUUAAUUCUUUAUGUUGAAAUACUUGCUGAAUUGAUUCUUCCUCUCCAAAUACUUGUUGAAAUUUAAUUAUUUAUGUUGAAAUACUUGCUAAAUUUCUUCUUUCUCUCCAAAUACUUGCUGCAUUUAAUUAUUUAAGUUGAAUUACUUGCUGAUUUGGUUCUUUAUAGAUUCUAAAUACUUACUGGAAUUGUAGGAUAUGGCUGCUAGUCAAAUUUCAUGGACACCUACCAUGUCAUCAUACAUGCUAGCCCACCUAUGUGGUUUGGUGACUGGUGGCCAUAGACCGGGUACCUCCUUCAAGACUGUCCACUCGAACGGUUGUGUCGCUGCUAUGAAUGAACAGUUUCAGUGCACCGAGUUGAUUGGAACCCACAUCACAAAUCAUACAAGGACAUGGAAGAGGAAGUAUAAACAGAUAGUGCACCUCAAAUCAACAGAUAGUGCACCUCAAAUCAUUGAGUAGUGCACUUUGGGAUGAAGAUAACUUUCUGAUUGUUCUUGAUCAUGAGCAUUACACAAAGCACAUUAAGGUAUCUAUUUUACUGCCUUUUAGUACUUGUUGAGUUUGGUUCCUUGUGUGCAAAUACUUGCUGAAAUGGUUUCUUUCAUGCAUUAUCACUUGCUAAAAUUCAUUCUUUCAUGCAUUAUAACUUGUUGAAAUUUAUUUGUACUCUCAUUCCUUGCUGAAAUUAUUACUUUUGUUUAUAAAGGACCACAAAGAAGAUGAACCCUGCCUUAACAUGCCUAUUAAACAUUAUGAGAAGAUGAUGAUUAUCAUUGGAGCCGGCAUGGCUACGAGGCAAUAUGCAAAAGGCUCAAGUGGCCCUUUAGCUACAAAGUUGACUGGUCUUGAAGAAAAGAAACCAAAAAAAGUUGUUGCCCCGCAUGGAGAGGUUGCCGAUUCACCCACUUGUGAUGAGUCAGCUGCUCCCAAGUUCAAAAAAAGUCAAAACUAAUCCUUCUACAGAAGAUAGGAUGCAUGCAACCAUAAUGGCUUCAAGUGAAAGGCUUGUUGUUGCCAAAGAGAAACUUGCUAGCAGCGCCAACCCUACCAUUGAUGGCCUUUGGGAUGAGAUGAAAGAUCUCCCAGGUUUUGAUGUGGAUUCCCUUGCUCAUUAUUAUGCCUAUUUGGUUGACAAUCCUCAUGUUGCAACGACAUUCAAGGUCUUGGGGGAUGUUCAAAGAAAGGUUUGGGUCUCUAGGUAUGUGAAGAGUACCUUUCCUGAAGCCGAAGCAUGAUGAGUUUAUAUGAGUGUUUAAUUUAUGCUUUUGAUGACAAGCAAAACAAUGGAGAUAUGGGUUGUAUGGACUUGUUCUUUUGAUUAUAACCAAAACAUUGAACUAUGCAUGGGUUGUAUAACUAUAGAUUUGAUCUAGUAUUCUAUGGAAUGUUGAACUAUGAGCUCUAUGCACUUGUGUUAUAUAUUAUGGAAAUCUUUAACUAUGAUAUGUAUUGAAGAUAAAGUUUAGCUUGUACUACUGAUGAUUUUGUUUGGGUAUGAUGUUCAAGUUUCUAAAAAUGUUCUUAUAAUUACUAUUGUACAUAUCAUAUUCGAUUGUCUUAUAUUGAAAGAUGGCUAACCUCACCCACCAACCAAACAGAAAAAUGGCUAUCCCCAACCAUGAUUCAUCCUUAAAACCAAACAAAACAUGGGCUAACCUCAUCCGUCUAACCAAACAGAAAAAUGGCUAUCCCUAUCCAGCAGGAUGGGGAUGCCCAUAUCCAGCCCAGCAUGUGCCCUCUAACCAAACGCAUCCUAAAGUACUUGUGUGUGGAAGAUAAUUAGGACAUACAUAAUUAGGCCAUACUAUAAAACAUAUUAUGAGAGAGUCAAAGCAUUAUGAGAAGGGCGAAGUGAAUAGAGAGGAUCCAACAGUUCACGAGACCUGAAUCGGGCGACUGCGCGGUGACUGGCGGAAAUUUUGGCCGGCCGGCCAGCACCUAGCAUGACUCUUUUUCAUAUACGAAUGGAAACAUUGUUUUUUGUGUGAUACGAAACACUUCCAAUCAAUGGAGAAAUUCGUUGCCCUGCCGAAACAAUUUCCUAUGCUAUGGAAGCAUCCACAACAUAGCGACAUGGCGCAGUCAACCUGGGUGCGAGGCGGCAUAGGUGGUCGUCGGCCUAGCCACCAAGUGAAGUUGCCAUAGCGCGGUGGCGAGGCAGCUUACGGGGUCGUCGAUAGGGUCACAAGCCUGGUCGAGCAUGAAGACGAGGCAACGGAGCCGCUCGUCUUCGGGGCAGCAUGGUGAGGCUACCCGAGCACCAUAUCGACCACUAUAUAAUCAAUCAUGUGGUGGUAUAAUCAAUCAUGCUUUGCUUGUGAUGGACUCAGACGUCCAAUACAAAAUGUUCCCUUCUUAAUGAAAAAGGCAGCGCUCCUGGCGGUUCCUCGAAAAAAGAAGUCCUUUCUUGUGAGGGGUUCAGAUGUCAGACUAGGUGUGCAAACUUAUUUGAUGAGAAUUUGGCCAGUUCAAUGAAAUCGUGUGAUAGCAAGUAUAAUUAAGGGUGUCCCUUAGAAAACAUAUAAUUAAGGUGUAUAUCCUACUUACAUGCCACUUGUGUCAAGGAGAGAGACAAGAAAGAAAUGAAAGGAGUUGGUUCUCAUACAUGAACAAACCAAAGCAAACACAGUGCAUUUGGUUCAGGGGGGUUAGAGGUGGGGAAUGGGAGUUACAGAAAAAGGCUUUCCCCCCGCUUUGUAUUUCAAAGCACCAACACCGAUACAGGAUCGCUGGGGCGAACAGCACAUCAAGCCCAAAAGAAAAAGAAGAAGAAACAAAUGCCAGCAACGGUAGCUAGACAAAGCGCGGAUGACCUGCCACUGCUACGCGCUCCAGAGACACACCACCACAACCCGAGGCUCCGAACCGCCGCGUACCAAGCAGCACCUCCAAGAAGGAAUACGACGCCGACGACACUGCUGCCCAGACAAGUCCUAGAGUUUCCCCUGGCACGCGGAGGGAGGUGGGGGAUGGAUAUCACUGACACCCUCCAGGAAGGAAUGGUGGAACCCACAGGUGUCGCCGCAUCGGAGCCGAAGACCCGGCAAGGAUUUCUCCCGCACUCCAACCCCACCGCCCAACGGACCGGAGCCGACCAGCCAGACCGCCGCCCACCACCAUGCGUCAUCGCGGUUGCGCCGCCACCCACGCCGCCUCACUUCGGACACCAACACGAGGCCAAGAGGGCCGGAGAGAAGCGCCCCGCGGAGGGAGAAGCAACACCGAAGCCGAACGGGAGGGAACCACCUCCACCGCCGUCGUGCGGGGGGCCAAAACCUCCGGCACCGUCUCGGUAGCCGUCCGGACGCGGCAGCAGGGAAUGCCAGGCCACCCCUGGCCCGGUCAGGCCCGAAACGGGGCCGCUAAGCCCCGCCGCCACGCUGCAGCAGGCCGGCGAUGGCGCCGCCAGCGCCCUGCCACUCUUCGCCUCUCCCCCGCCUCCUGGAGGACGCGCCGCAGACGAACCCCACCGCCAGCCCGCCCGGUCCCAGAUCUGGGCCGAGCGGGCGCCGCCAGGCCGNNNNNNNNNNNNNNNNNNNNNNNNNNNNNNNNNNNNNNNNNNNNNNNNNNNNNNNNNNNNNNNNNNNNNNNNNNNNNNNNNNNNNNNNNNNNNNNNNNNNNNNNNNNNNNNNNNNNNNNNNNNNNNNNNNNNNNNNNNNNNNNNNNNNNNNNNNNNNNNNNNNNNNNNNNNNNNNNNNNNNNNNNNNNNNNNNNNNNNNNNNNNNNNNNNNNNNNNNNNNNNNNNNNNNNNNNNNNNNNNNNNNNNNNNNNNNNNNNNNNNNNNNNNNNNNNNNNNNNNNNNNNNNNNNNNNNNNNNNNNNNNNNNNNNNNNNNNNNNNNNNNNNGUCCCGCACCAGAGGAGAGCCGAGAGGGGAAUUGCGAGGGGGCCGCCGCGCCAGCGUCGCCUGGGCCAGGCCCGGCGGCGAGCGCCAACGACGGCGGCGAGGAGGGACGGAGGAAGGAGGGGGGCUGGAGAAGAGGGUCACGGCGCGGCCGGUCACCCGCGGGGGCGACGCGGUCGCGAGAGCCGCGAGGGGGUUUCACCAACCGCACAUGACUGGAUGAUACCCCAGGAAUGAGAGUUGAGGGGUGACAAGAUUAAAAGUCCAUUAUUUGAUUAGAGGGAAUGGGAGUUUAAGUAGGAAGGGGAAUGAAAGUUGAGGAAGUCAAUUCCCAUCUAUCCAUAAACACCCUAAUGCAAACUCCCGUUCUCAUGCCCAAGUAAAUGCAAUUAAGAAAAGGAUAAAGAUGAUUGAAAGUAUGGCCAUCCUAAUAUCCAAUCUUAUAGCCAAUCCAUAGUAUGAGUAUUUGCCAAUAAUGACUCUGGAUGACAUGACAACAAUGUAUAACCAUGUGUUAGCUAUAUAUAAUCACUAAUCAAUCAUGCUCUAUGUCAGGUAUGAAUACGCAAGUACGUAUCAGUUAAUAGCACAGAGAUUUACACGCGAUAAGUGCAACUCCAACUCCAAUGCACACUAUCCCGCUCCGCAUCGUCCAAAAUACCUAUUUCUGCCAAGAAUAGACAGGCCAAAUUUACGGACUCGGCAACUGAGGAUGUAGGGAGUCAAAUUAGUGUCCAAAGAAGCACAUGGUAAUGAAAUUAUUUCAACAAUCCAGGUAAACAUAUCUAUUGUACCAAAGCAGCCUACAAUAUUACAUACCAAUGACUGGCUGAUAAUAAGCCACAGCAAUAGCUAAUACAAUGGAACCAUAAAGAAGAUCCACACAUGAAUAACAAGCUCGCGGAUCAUAUCAACUGCACAAUCAAGUUCGUCGCAGCGAUACAAAUGACACAUGUAGCAAUCGCUAGAUAACAACCCGUCCAUAGUUUUACAAAUGAUCAAGAAAAUAAAAUAAAGGCAAGGGGCAUUCACAUCAAAAUCCACGCAAGGCAGCACAGGAAAAACAGCACUGCUUUGGCCCCCAAUCGUAUGCAGCAGAGCAUAUACUACAGGCAUGAGCAUCGCCCAACAGAGAGAUCCCAGUCCAACCUGCGUCCUCUGUUGCUGCCGUCUCAGCAACGAAACAAAGCGAAAAGGGAAGAACCUGAUGGACCUCGGAGAACCAGGCAUUGCCCAUCACAGCUGCGUUAUUUUUGCCUAACUCGCACAUGGAUAGAAUGAACAGGCCCCAUGGCAGUUUAAAACCCUC